Molecule: ribosomal RNA, 468 nt
Filed under: uncultured bacterium
Lineage: Bacteria
Description: partial 16S ribosomal RNA
Rfam family: Bacterial small subunit ribosomal RNA
Source: RNAcentral
GACGAACGCUGGCGGCGUGCUUAACACAUGCAAGUCGAACGGAAAGGCCCUGCUUUGGGGGGGUGCUCGAGGGGCGAACGGGGGAGUAACACGUGAGUAACCUGUCCUUGACUGUGGGAUAACUUCAGGAAACUGGGGCUAAUACGGGAUAGGAGCUCCUGCUGCAUGGUGGGGGUGGGAAAGUUUCGGCGGUUGGGGAUGGACUCGCGGCUUAUGAGAUUGUUGGUGGGGUAGUGGAUGACCAAGGCUUUGAAGGGUAGCCGGCCUGAGAGGGGGACCGGCCCCGUUAGGACUGGAAUACGGCACGGCCCACACCGGGACGCAGCAGUGCGGAAGAGAGCACAAUGCGCGGAGCCAUGAUCCAGUACAGCCGCGCCCGGGAUGACGUCAAUCCGGUUGUAAUCCGCUUCCCCCUGUGCCGAAACGUGAAUGACGGUACUGGGUAAAGAAGCACCGGCUAACUACGUG